UGGGGAAUCUUGGACAAUGGGGGCAACCCUGAUCCAGCGACGCCGCGUGGGUGGUAAGGCCUUCGGGUUGUAAAGCCCUUUCACCGGGGAAGAUGAUGACAUUACCCGGAGAAGAAGCGCCGGCUAACUCCGUGCCAGCAGCCGCGGUAAGACGGAGGGCGCUAGCGUUGUUCGGAAUCACUGGGCGUAAAGGGCGCGUAGGCGGCUGUUUAAGUCGAGGGUGAAAGCCCGGGGCUCAACCCCGGAACGGCCUUCGAGACUGGGCAGCUCGAGACCGGAAGAGGAGGGUGGAAUACCCAGUGUAGAGGUGAAAUUCGUAGAUAUUGGGAAGAACACCGAUGGCGAAGGCAGCCAUCUGGGCCGGCAUUGACGCUGAGGCGCGAAAGCGUGGGGAGCAAACAGGAUUAGAUACCCCGGUAGUCC
RNAcentral lists this ribosomal RNA (423 nucleotides) under uncultured prokaryote. Its description in RNAcentral is "bacterial SSU rRNA". It matches the Rfam family "Bacterial small subunit ribosomal RNA", at positions 355 to 796 of the family's 1533-position model. The record is from RNAcentral.